Cercocebus atys (sooty mangabey) is the source of this 8575-nucleotide long non-coding RNA. RefSeq lists it as uncharacterized. NCBI's taxonomy places the organism in Eukaryota, Metazoa, Chordata, Mammalia, Primates, Cercopithecidae. The transcript has 3 exons. The record is from RefSeq and is a predicted model, not a curated record.
GGUCAGGGCUGGGGGCCGGCGGGGGUCGCGGCUGUCCCGCUGGCUCCCUCUCCCCGCCAGUCAUCCUCACUGUAGACUCGGGGAGAACCGAGUCGCGGCCCAGGACCCCGGACGCGGUUCCCUCCGUGUCCCAUUUAGUCCGCACUGACACUAGCAGCUGCUCCCAAUUACCAAUGUUUAGCAUAUGCAAUAGACUUACUCCUCGAUUUAUCUAUAUUUACUGACUGUUCCACAGUUAUACCAAGAAAUGUUUACACAGAUGAUGAUAAGCAUAUGUAGAGAUGCAACGUUUUCACAGACCAGAAUAACCAGCUCCAGGCUGCAGUUCUCUACACGAAGAUAAAGUUUGUUGGGAAACUCCUGACUGCGGCGACCUGAGCCCAGAGGAGCAGCCGGGGGCAGAGGAGCAGCCGGGGGCGGUGGGCAGAGCCGGGUGUGGACAAGCGGGUGGGUCCUGCACCUGGGUGGGGGAAGCAGCAGGCUCCAGGGUCAAGUUGAGGUUGUGCUAGCCCUGGCUUCCAGACCUCAGGCGGCCCACUCUGCCCUCGGCCUGUUUCCUCUCUUGUAAAGUGGGGAGUAAGAGACCAUCACAAGCCAGGGAUGAAGUGGCACAAACUGUGAUCUCAGCCACUCUGGAAGCUGGGUCGUAGGGGUGGAGGGGUCACUUGUGUCUCAGAGCUGGAGCUGUGGUGUGCGAGGCCCGCACCUGUAAAUGGCCACUGCACUCCAGCCUGGGCAACACUGAGACCCUGGCUCUGAAAAACAACAAAACUUAAAAGAUGAACACAGAUGAAGUAUGGGAGCCUGGUAUGUGGUAAGCACUCCACAGGUGUCAGCCGCCAGCCCGCAGUCCAGGACAGGUCAGGGGGAGACCCGCAGUCUGCGACAGGCUGCCGGCUUCCAUCACUGCCUGAUGGAAAACAAGCCUGUCUUUGGGGCCAACCAGCUAACAAGUGAGCCCUUCACCCCUAGGCGAAGCACCCAAAGGGGCAACCAUGGACCACUGAAUAAAAAGACUCCUGGGACGCCUUCUCCGGACACAUUCUUAGUAAAGAGAUAUGUGGAUGAGGAUGUUGUGUGUAUUUCUGUGUAACAGGCCACCCCAAACCUCAGAGGGCGGAAACCUCUCUUCACUGCUCAUGACCCUGUGGGCCUGCAGCUUGAGCCAGUUCAACUGGGACAGCUUGCCUCGGCUCCAUAGGGUGUCUGCUGGACCCACUUAUGGGCAGAGGCCCCCCAGCAGAUCCGGGCCACGUGUCACCCACCCACCGCAGGCUGGUCAGGCCUCCCUCCCAUGGUGGCUGGGCUCCAUCGGCAGCAAGAGAAAGCAAAUCUCCAUGGUGCUUCCCUCCAUCUCCCCAGGAGAAGCAGGUGAGAUGGCCAGGGCCUGAGUGGAUGUGAGCGACUGUGCAGGGGACAGGCACGGGAAGCAUGGUUCAUCAGGACGGUCACUGCAACAGUCUUCCACAGGCCUUCGCUGAGAUGCAGGUUGGUGUAGGGAACACAAGGGAACUCACCAGAAUGGAGGCUGCUUAUGCAAGUUUCAGCUUGUUCUUUUUCUCCCUCCAGAGCAUAGGAGAGCAGAUGGCGGCCAAGGCCGGGACCCUCUGCUGCUCCCACGGGCCUCUCAGGCAGCUCUGCAGGACCAGCCAGCAGCCUCUGAUUCUCCCUUCCUAUUCCAUGGCCUCAGAUGCCAUCCUUUCCACAGAGACAGUUUCUAUCGUGACACUCUCCCUGACUUGGAAGAAUGGCACUCAGAACAUUGCCCUUGGUGCUGAUGUCAGGGGUGAAAGCAGUUUCCAGUCGCCUGGGGCCAGGACACGGCAUUCCCAGCUGUUGUGGAGCAUGAAGCACCAGGAUGCCCAUUUGGGUGCCUGUUGAGAUCAGGCUCUUUGAGAAGGAAUCCUGUGGUCGCCUGAGGAGGCCCGAAGAAAUUUCGAGGACAUCUCAGCCAUCCGUCCCCUGUUCACUGUGGAGGUCGAACACCAAGGUUCCUGGAGGGGGACCCUGGGUCUCCACAGAAGUGCUGGCAACCAUCUACUUCCCGGCCUUCCGUGCCUGCCCCACCUCUGUUCUGUUGUUUACCGUCUCCUUUGUGGGAAUUAUGGAAUAAACGAUCACUUUGGUGUCCUGGAAAAUAAACCUGAUGCUGGAGGACUUGAGUGUAGGAAUCCCGCUGGGCUUCCUCUGUCUGCCCCAUGAGUUAGGCUUUGCAUAAGCAUGUGAGACAUCAACCGCUAUGAAAUGUGGUCUACACAGCACCAAAAAAUCCAUUUCACCACAUUCUCCCUUCAGUGCAGUUAAAUGGCAUGACCUUGUGACUGCCCCCCACGAGAAGAAUUAAAAAUUACACCGGCCCUGCCAAAGCCUACAGGACACAGUGGCACAAAAUGAUUUCCACGAUCUUAGGAUAUAGACCCAGGCCGACUCGACAGAUUAAGUGGAUUUCAAACUGUGGUCUCAAGCCUUCUGGGAACUGCCAGAAAGGAGGGGAAGGUGCCGAGUGGCCCAGCUGCCCAGCCUGUUCACACACUGGGCUUUCCAAAAGGAGGAGAAGGCGCCAGCCUCAGAGUGGCCCAGCUGCCCAGCCUCUUCACACACUGGGCUUUCAGUUGAAGAGAGUGUUCAAAGCUUACACAUGUAAAUGCCACUGAUCUGUGAACCCCCUUCCUGUCAUGCCCAGGGACUGGCAGACUGUGGCUAGAAGGGUGGGACCAGAGGGGUGGGUCACGUGACCUGCACACGGAUGUGCUGGCCUCCCUGGGCCUCGGUGGCCAGGACAGCCUCCCUUUCCCUUUCCAGCCACACAGGGCAAUCCGUGUGGAUUUCUGUCUCCCCAGUUACAGAGUGUGCUGCCAACCUGCUCUGCUGAGACUGGCCUGGUCUUGGUCCUGGUGUCCUAGGGCUGAUGACUGACCACAGCCUUUGUGCCUUUGAAGCCCAUUUGACUAUAGUCCUUGUGUACAACUGAAAAUGAAGCUUUAAACAAUCUUGCUUUGUUUUAUUUAAUUCUGCCCAAUCUAUUUGAGAAAGGACACUCACAGGUACUUUUUCGAUUGUAGCCUAAAGUGGAUUAUUGAUUUCCUUGUUUCUCAAACAUCAGGAGGAGCAUAAAACUGCUAAUAAGAGGUGACCAAUAUUUGGUGAUACCAUGAUUUCAGACAUAUUAAUUUUGCCCUAUAUUUUAAAAAUAAAAUAAAAAGACAUGAGACUGGAGUAGCAAAACCAGAUGGUGCCAACCCAUUCGGUCAACAGCUGCCAUGGUGGUGGAAACCGUGUGUGAGGCCCGACCAGCUGACAAUGUGCCACCGUCUCUGGGACAACUCCCAGCUCCCACAGUGAUGCAGCAGGAGCAGUCUGUCUGUGCUCUGUGACAGGCACACAGCCCCCCACCCCACCCCCUGACUCCAGGACCUCAAGCGGAUUCUGACUCCCAGGAUGGCCCUGGGCACUUAGAGCUGGCAUUGAGACAAUUGAUGUCUGAGUGGCUGUGUUAGGAAGACAGCUGCGUACGAAAGACUGAUGUCCGGAGAGGAGAGCCGUGCUGGAGAUGGACACUUGAAACCCUUGAAAAUGGAAGACGUCACCGAUCCCUUAAAGAGAGGGUGGAGAAAGGAAAGAAGGGAACCUGGCACCAGACCUGAAGAGCCUCAGCCUGGCAUUAGAGGUGAGCAUAGAAAGAGAAGGGGGCGUGGGAGGCAGGAAGGCCCAUCGAGGCAGGAGAGAAAAGGCAGAAGCGUGUUUCUCUGGAGGCCAAGGCAGGGAGACUGCUUGAGGCCAGGAGUUGGAGGCUUCAGUGAGCUAAUACCUCACACAGCUUGUAUUCUUUUGUGUCUCGAUUAUUUCACUUGAUCUUGGAUAAAGAGUGGAAAGGGAGACAUAAAUAUGGUUAUGUACGCAGAUAAUUUUAAAUCUACAGCCGAAGUCUUAGAUCUAAUUAAAAUUCAGCAAGAUUACUGAGUAUAAAAUUGACACCCAUGCACACACCCCCAAAAUGAUUUCUAUGUAUCAGCAGCAAACAACAUGUAAUUUGGAAGAUGAUUCUGUUUACAACAGUAACAAAAGUGUGAACUAAAAAUAAAUCAAAAAGAAGUACAUGAUCCUUAAGGAGAAAUUCAUUUUUAAAAAUUAUUAAAAGAGCAGGCAAAUAUAGAGACACACCAAACACCUCAAAUUCUUCGUGGGAUGAGUAUAAAUAUAUAAAUCAAACAAAAUUAGCAGCUUCACCAACUUCUUUUGAAUGAUACUAGAUUUUUAAAAUAAAUCAGAUGCAAAAACAGUAUGGUUCCUGGUGACAUACUACUCUAAAAUAAUGAACUAGAGCUAGGAAAAGGAGAUUUUUUUUUUCGAUUUUGCUGAGUUAUGUCUUAAUUAUUAUGUUAGCAGUCUUUCCUGAGAAGCUAAAAGGUAAUUAGCAACUGAAGCCAGGCAGGAGGCGGAGGAGGGAGGGCGUGGGCAGGCCGUGCUCUCUGCUGAAUCUCCAGGAGCUGUUCUGGUGGGGAUGGAGGCUGCAGGCUGAGCCUAAGUGCAGUUGGGUUAGUGACAAAUUAGAUGGCUCAUGUGGUUAUUUAAAGCCUUCUCUCUAGGGAACUUUCAACUACCAUAUAUUCAAGAUCUUGCAGUUGAUAGUUUUAAACUGGAAUCUCAGGGACUCGGGCUGACUGUUACCUAUACAAGUCGCUAAGGGAUACAGCAGCUGUGAGCGGUGGUGUGAAAAAUGGCCAUCAUUGCGUAUUUUCAAACCUUUUUUAAGUAUAAUGCAUACACCAAAAAGUAUCCAUGUCGUAAGUGUACAUCUCAACACGUUAGCCCAAAGUGGACACAGCUGUGAAACCUCCACCAGGGCAAGCAGCGGAACGUGACCGACCCGGAGUGUCCGGCAUGCUCCUCCGCAGCCAAGGCUGCCUCUGGGCCUUAAAGAUAACCUCUACCCUGACUCCCACCUCCGCAGAUUGGUUACGCCUGUUUUUGCUUCACAUGAGCGACAUCACACGGCAUGUAUUCUUUCGUGUCUUGAUUCUUUCACUUGAUGCUGUGAUCAUGAGCUCCAUCAACCUGUGCCUCUGUGAACCUUCUCAUACUCCUCUCUUAGUGCACGUGUGUAUAUGUUUCUGUUGGGUUGUGUACCAGGUCGCAGGAAACACAUAGGUCCCACUCUAGAGGGCACACUGAUUUACCAAAGUGUUGAGCCACUUUAUACUCCUACCAGCAAGCGAGGAGCUUUCCAGCUGCUUCUUGUCCACAUCAACAGUUGAUGUUGACACUUUGGCCACCCUGGAGGGUGGUGGUGGUUUCUCGUGGUGGCUUUAAUCUGUAGUUCACUAAUGACCAGUGAGGUUGAGCAUCUUUACAUGUUCUUAUUUUCCACAGGCACAUCCUUUCUGGUGAAGAAGCCACAAGUUUUCUUUAUUAUUUAUUUGUAGAAGUUAUUUAUAUAUUCCAGACCCAAACUCUUGGCAGAUAUAUGUGUUGCAAGUACCUUCUCUCACCCUGUGUCUUGCAUUUCCAUAAUCACAGUGGAGUCUUUUGUUAUACAGGAGUUCUUAAUUUCAAUGUGAUCCAAUUUAUCUACCUUUUUUCUACGGUUAGGGUUUUUUUGGUGUCCAGUUUAGAAAACUCAGCUACUCCAUGGUCAUGAAGGAAUGCUUCUGUUAUCUUUUGGAAGGUUUAUUGUUUCAAUUUUCAAAUUUAAAGGACAAUUCACCAGGAAUUGUUUUUCUGUACAGUGUGAGGUAGGGGUUCAGAGUCAGUCCAUCAGUGUUGUCUGUGUUUGAUGUCCAGUUGACCUAGCACUGUUUACUGACAUGAUUUCCCUUCUCCCUGCUGCUCUGCUGCAGUAGCUUUGUUGUGAAUUAAGCAUCCAUAUAGGCAUGGGUUGUUGUUUUUUCUGAACUAUUUUGUUAGGUGCUGAGGACUGGCCUUGAACUGCUAUUUCCUGUCCUAAUUACUGAAACUUUCUUAAGAGUCUUCUUUUGACACCAUAGAAUCACCUUGCAGUUUUUUUGUUUUUCAAAAUUUUCUUGGUUAUACUUGGUAUUUUGCGUUUCCAUUUAAAUCUUUCAAUUAGCUUAUCAGUUUCCUCAAAAUAUUCUGCUAGAAUUUUUAUUAGACUUGCAUUGAAGCUAUAGAUCAUUUGGUGAGAAUGGAUAUUCUUACAAUAUUGAGUGCUCCAAUUCAUGUUUAGCCAUACAUUGAUUUAAAUAUUCUCCAAUUGUUCUCAUUAUCUUCUAGCCUUCUGUGUAGAUAUUACACACUUAGUCCAUUAGAUUUAUUCCCAGACAUUUGGUGCAUUGGAUGAUCAAUUUAAAAUGAUCCCUAUUUUUAUUUUGUAACCACUGGUUUCUGGUUUAUUUAGAAUGCAAUUGAUCUUUGUGUAUUGAUCUCGUACCAGCAGUCUUUCGAGAUUCACUUAAUAAUUUCAAUAGUUGUCUGUAGAUUCUAUUGGGUUUCUUACAUACGUAUCAUUUUGUUUGUGAAUAAUCACUUUUUCAUUUUUUCCUUUCCAGUCAUUUUAUCCUUUAUUGCUUUCUUCUUGGCUUACCUCAUUGGUUGCUGCUGAAAAGAAGUGUUAGUGGUGAGCAUCCUUAUUUUUUUCCUGACCUCAGGGGGGACACUUUCAAUAUUUCACCAGUAAGUGUGAGAUCUGUGGUAGGAUUUUUAAAUAUAGAUCCCCGCAAUGAGAUCAAGGAAGCUCCCUUCUAUCUCUUCUUUGCUAAGAGUUUCUUUUCCUGAAUGCAUGCUGAGUUGUAUCACAUUCUUUCUUCUGCAUUUAUUGAGAUGAUAGUAUGAUUUUUCUGCUUCAUUAUAUUAAUACGGUGAAUUAAGUUGAUUAAAGUUUAAAUGUUAUACCAAACUUGCAUUUCUGGAAAAAGCCCAACUUAGAAAAAGCCCAGGAGAUACCCCAGGAUCCUUCUAGCAAAUCCCCCUCUCUGCUUGCCCACCCACCUUGCUUCAAGGACAAGGAGUGGAAGAAAUAAGGAAAAUGGUGAAGAAGCCCAGGUCUCAGGGCUCCACCUGGCCAUGCUGUGGCCUAAGGCAUGUGGCAGGGGGGACUUUUGUGACUUGGCUGGGGGUGGUGAGGGGCUGCUGUGGCCUAGUUGGUGGGGAGUCUGUGGCCUGGGUACGGGGGCAUUGCUGACUACUGUGGCCUGGUCCCCCUCCCCAACUGCAUCCUAGCUGUGGGGGGCUGCUGUGGCCUGGCCCUGCCUAGCAGAUGAGAGGCUCCAGGCCUCGUUUUCUAUUGAGUGCAUGGAGACAGCUCUGGUUGAUGUGAGACCAGGUCACUUACUGGACAUGGGUCCCUUCCUUGGGCUUCAGUCUCCUCAUCGGAGAGGCUAUCUGUAAAGUCAGGAGUCAACAAAAUGUCCCUCGGGCAAACUGUGUAAAAAGAAAGUAUAAACUAAACAUUAAAUAUCCCGUCAGCCACAGAAAUGUGAGGCACUGUUCCCGCCUGCACUGAGGUUCAGAGACUCGCCCUUCCCCAGCACCAUCCACUGUAGGGUGCGGUGCUCAGUGUUUGCCAGCAGCCUAGGGUCUUCAAGGGGAAAAGUCUCUCUGCCGUCCUAUGCUGGCCACCAUGGGGACUUGUGAUGGAGCUACUCAUCAGUUCUUCGGCCAGUCUCUUUUCAGGGGGAAGGGUCUCCCAUCUGUCAUCAAUUCCUCAGGGGAUGGAGGGGAGGGAGGGCACAUCUGGAGGGGUGCAACCCCAGAUGGCCCCACGAGAACCAGGAGGGGCCCUGGUGGCAGCAGGAGUUCAGGCCCAGGAACAGGUCCCAGGCUCCCUCUUGUCCCAGCUCCUUCCCAGACCUCCUGGGAACACAGCACACAUUCCAGAGAGAUGAGAGCAGUCAUAGUCUGUGCGGGUUUGGUUGAAUGGCAUACAAUAUAAGCCCACCUAUUUUUGCUUUCUAGAAUUCCACUUCUAUUUUUGGUGGAAUAUGAAAGCUUUGACUAUUUCCCAAAGUGGAAAAACACAUAUUUUUCCUUGACUGUUUGGUAAUAUCUUUGUUGCUCAUUAAAUAAGUGCAUUCAGUCUGCAUGGGUGCUCGGUGAAGCCCCUUCCCGAUCCCCUGAGCAGGAGCUGACUGUGUGAACCACACACACAUCCUUUCUCAAGCCCUCCUGCAUUUUAUUUGUUAAAGCUUCAGCACUUCACACAUAUCCCAGUGGGUAGAUCUGAAUAAGGGCAUCAGAUGUGCCCACCACUCUGCAGCUAAGGACUGCAGAGAAACCUCUCCGUGAGGAUUCCAGUGCUUAGGUCCCAGGCCCCACCCCUCAUGUAUCUGUAAAAUAGAAAAGGAGGAGGGGGAGGGAGAGGAAGAAGAUGGGUAGGAGGGUAGGAGGAAGGGGAGGGGCACUUCCACCCCUUCUACUGCCUUAAGGAUGUGUGCGGUGGACACUGGGGUGACUAUGGAAGGAAUACGCCUACCUGAGCUCACUCCCACCAGCAUAUUAGCCUCCAUUACAACCACUAAUUCUUUUGGUAUUUUGCAACAGAGUUUCACUCCGUUGCCCAGGCUGGAGUGCAGUGGCACAACCAUGGCUCACUGGAGCUUCCACCUGCGCACUCAACCAA